This is a long non-coding RNA of Apus apus (common swift), 10302 nucleotides long. RefSeq lists it as uncharacterized. NCBI's taxonomy places the organism in Eukaryota, Metazoa, Chordata, Aves, Apodiformes, Apodidae. The transcript is spliced from 4 exons. The record is from RefSeq and is a predicted model, not a curated record.
UACAAGAAAAAACAAGUCUUUGUAAGUUUAAGUUAAGAAACUGGGCUCCAGCAACCUAGAUUCACUGAAACGGUGAAGAGUUAUCAUGGCUGCCUUUAAAGCAAAAGCUGUAACACAAUUGUUGCCUGCACUUCAGAAAGCAUGAAGAACUUAACACUGCAUGUAUUUCCUUCUUAGGCUUCCAGAGUCUCAUUUUCCUACCUUUUUAUUCUUUAAGCAACUCAACAGUGGAACCUACUCAGUGGCUUGCAUCAUAUCAUUCCCAUUGUUCUGAAUUUAAGACAUCGCCAAAAACCUCUAUACAAUCCGUGCUAGGCCGUAUAGGAAAGCUGUUGCGUCAAGCCUGACUUCCUCCCUAGAUGUGCUCAUUGCUUGCUUCUCUUCAGGGGAUGUUAUAAACAUAGAAUAAAAGGUUACCAACAGCACGGUGGGACCCUGUCAAACAUGUUACCAACAACGUCAACAACCUGCAUGUAUGAUCACUAUUGGACAGUACUCCAACAUCGCGACAGUUUAUGUAUUGAAAGCAUCAAUGAUAUCUUAUUUUGUCAUGGAUAUACAGACAACUUGUGUCAGAACAACCUCUGCCCUUCAGGCCUAAAAAGCAAUAGCACGUCCACAGGAAAAAAAUGCACUGUACAUACAGAAAAAAUGUACCGCAUGUGUCUUUAAACACGGACCACUGCUUUAUAUCAUCAUGAUGGAAACUCAGAAAAAUUGGUAACCAAUUAAACUAAGCUAUUAUGCUAAUGAUUGCCAAUAGAUCAGCAGGCAACCUUACAUUAUCUCUUAUUUAUACCAAGCAUUUUGUUGCAUCCUGUACUGCAGUUAUGGGAAAACUGUUCAUUUAGUAUCAAAGGGGUGUUAAGUCCUGUUGACAGCUAGCCUUCUGCUUUAACACUAAUAGUCUGUUAAUUGUACUGGCUCACCUACAAUCAGUUAUCAAAAUAGUGUGCAAGAAUUGGCACAGAGCGGCACACAAGAGCCAUUUGUAAAACAGAAUUGUAGUUUAUGAGCAGAGACAAAGUGAAAAGUCAAUCAGAAGUGAAGUGUAAAACAAAUGGCAUCCUACUUCAAGAGUAAUCUCCUAGAAGAGGGCAUUUAGAUAUGUUCUGCUGCUUGUGUACUUAUGUACAUGUAACUUCAUCAGCAUUCUGGUUUAGAGUUGUCCAGACUGGAAAGCAUCUUGGAUGCCUAUGUCUGUAUCACUUCUGUCAAUCAGUAUCCUGUAACAGCAACUGAAGUUUGAGUAAUUGCUUAUGCAACAAACAAACAAAAAAAUGCAUAAUUCCUUUUCUAUACGCAGAGCUGAGCUGCAGUUUGAGUAAUUUAAAACUUUCAAUGAAAAAAAAAGUAUUUACAAUACUUUUGCAUCUGGUGUUAGGGAGUUAGUUUUGAUAGCAAUCUAUGUAACUCAUAAGGUUGUUGGGUUUAUAUGACUUCAGUUUUCAUAGGUUGGUGGUUCCCCAAGAACACGUUUAGUCCCUGCUGACUUUAUUGCUUUGAAAGAGGAGUAUAGAUUUUUCAGCCAGGUGAUACUUGCGAUUGGACCUUGAGGUUUUCCAGAUUCAUUUGAGAGCUCAAUAUAGAGACACUUCCAAAGCAUACAGGGUUUUCAUUCAGGACACCAGUAAAUGUUCUUAAGCUAAAGUGGAUCUAGACUGCAUGAGUUCCCAAAGAGAUCCCCAAAAAUGGUUUCAUUUGGAGAGAAAAAAUUUGCUCAGAAAAAGGGCUUUCCAAAUUACUAAAGGGACUUCUUGAGACUCAUGACAUGGUUCCCCAUCACCAACUGCUGCUGCAAGGUGAUGUCUGGUAUGAAAGAUACAUUUUGCAAUCUAAUUUAUUUAUUUAUAGGUAUAUACAUAAAAACGAUUUCUCCUUUCCCUCGGUUUUAUCAAGGCUUCAUCUCCAGAUGGGUCUUUUUAGCAUAUUCUUCACUUUCUGAAGAUAUUUCAUUAUUGCUGUGAUCUCUAUACAUAAUACGUAAUUUUUUCAGAUCAGUAAGUGAAUGGUUUUGUCUAGGGAGGUCAGCUUCUUUCUGGGUGAGGAGUUAUCAUUCCUUAGUAUCAGCUGGCCAACUUUGUCAUCCUACUUGAUUAUCCUAUUAGCUAGACAGUAGCAACAGAUGUUAUCCCUGACAUUGCUUAGUCUUAAUGAGUUUUGCAAGGGUGCACAGCCAUGAACUGCCACCUUUGCCUUCUUCCAGGAGCUGCUGCAAUGGGAAAGAACUGACAAAUGUGGAACAAAGUUUCCUACUGUUUCCUUUGCUCAUAAUCAGAAAUUCAAAUUCCUUGCCAUGCCUGGGAAACCACUUCUGCUUUCAGCAGCAAAAAAGCAGCAGCUGCAGCAAUGCUCUGUGGAUACAGGACAGUAAAUAUAUGAGGUUUAUUUUUUUCUGUCCUCUCCAAUUUUUCAAUUAGAAGACAAGUCCUCUUUCAUUUUCCUUCAUCCUGCUUGGUGUAUCCCUUUCUCCCCAUUGUACCACACUAAGCUAAUUGAGCAAAAUGCAAUUGUUGCAAACAUUUUGCUCUUCAUGUGCGUUUUCUGCAGGGAAGGAAUUAGAAGGUCCAAAGUCCAGCUAUAAAUUUGUCUGGCCUCCAUGGUAAAGGACAACAAGACAAACUUCUAUAAGUAUAUUAACAACAAAAGAAAGACCAGGGAGACCCUCCAUCCUCAACUAGAUGCAGGAGGAAACAAGGAUGAGGAAAAGGCUGAGGUGCUCAAUGACUUCUUUGCCUCAGUCUUUAGUAACAGGACCAGUUAUGUUGAGGGUAUCCCACUCCCUAAGCUAGGCCACAGGGAAAAGAAGCAGAAUGAUCCCCCCACAGUCCAGGAGGAGCUGGUCAGUGACCUGCUACACCAUGUAGAUGUGCACAAAUCUAUGGGGCUGGAUGGGAUGCACCCAAGAGUGCCGGAAGAGCUGGCAGGGGUGCUCACCAAACCACUUUCCAUCAUUUAUCAGCAGUCCAGCUGACUAGGGAGCUACCAGCAGAUUAGAAAUCAGCCAAUGUAACCCCCAGAUAUAAGAAGGGAUGGAAGGAUGAUCCGCAGAACUACAGGGAAGCUGAUGCAACAGAUCAUCCUGAGUACCAUUAUGCGGUACAUGCAGGACAACCAGGUGAUGAGGCCCAGUCAGCAAAGGUUCGUGAAGGGCAGGUCCUGUUUGACUAACCUCAUCUCUUUCUAUGACAGGGUAACCUGCUUAUUGGAUGAGGGAAGGCCUGUGAAUGUUGUCUACCUUGACUUCAGCAAGGCCUUUGACAAGAUUUCCUACAGUAUUCUCCUAGAGAAGCUGGCUGCUCAUGGCUUGGAUGGGCAUACACUUUGCUGAAUAAAAAACUGGACAGCAUGAGGUUCAAUAAGGCCAAAUAUUAGAUCCUGCACUUUGGCCACAACAACCCCCAGCAGCGCUACAGGCUUGGGGAGCAGAGAGGGACCUGGGGGAGCUGAUUGACAGCCGGCUGAACAUGAGCUGUUCCGCUUGGAGAAGAGGAGGCUGAGGGGAGACCUCAUUGUUCUCUACAGCUACCUGAAAGGAAGUUGUGGUGAGGUAAAAGGCUACAUCCCAUCAUUCCAGUGAUCAUUGUUUUUAGUGCAUAGCCUUGGAGUUUUACCAGUUGUCUCUCAUACUGGUUUUGUGAACAAGGCCAGUCAGAAUACCAGGAACAGACAAAAAAAAACUACUCCCACAAGUGUUACCAGUGGAGGAACCUGAAGACCAGCAGUGGAGAUGCAGAACUGCUUCAGAAGGCUGUCAGCAGGCUUUCUGUUGCACACAGUCUCAAUCAAUUGAAAUGUCUUCUGGAAUAAAGAUUCCACUUACUGCUGAGCAGAAGAGUGAAGUUCUCUUUUCACAGAUCCCUUGAAAAUAAAUAACAAUUUUUUGCCAGAAGAGAUAUUAAGAUUUUUGAAACUCCGUUAAACAUGAAAUGGACACUUACUAUUCUCAUUUUCAUGCAUUUAUCAUUAUAAUAUUUAGUGGUUUUAUUUGUAUUAUCACAUGACAUCAUUCAUUUUCAGUGUCCGACACUUUUUUCCCUUAUCUUCUGGUAUUUUGUUCAUCUUUGGUUGUAGGCAGCACAGUCAGAAAGAGAAAAAAGGUACAGAUUUGCAAACACAAGAAAGAUUUCCUUCAAAAUUGGUUUUCUUUAGAAUCAUUUCAGGAGACAGAAUUUAAGUUAUUGCCCAAAAGAAACAAGCAAUCCCAGGAGCUGUUCUGAUAUGGUUUGCCGAGGUCUCCCAAGCAUAUCUGUGGGACUGGAGAGAGAGAAGGUGCUAGGGCACCCAGGACCAAGGUCUAAUAUUGGUUACACUAUGAAGAUUCUGUGGCAAUUCAGCUGCCAAUGAGAGCAGUGCUUGUGCAAUACACAACCACUGUUUUUCUGCCAGACAGCUUUUGUAACUUUUUAUUUCACAGCUUCACAACUUACCUGUGUUUUUUUUAUAUCAGAAUAUGUUGAUGUCUGUGAAAUUCCGAGAAUACCCAUUACUAAUGAGGUUCUUGUUUGAAAUGAUGUACUGGACUCCCUAAAUAAUUUUUAAAAUCUGUUUUGUUUUGUUUCCAUUUUAAAGACCAGUCUAUUAAAACAGAGCUUUCUGAAUAAUUCAAGGUGUUUUAGGAAUUCAGUAUGCAGAAUUAAAUUGAAAGUCAAAGAUUUACAACACUACCUUGUUCUUAAUAUGUUUGUUUGUAAUUUCUGUAGAACAAGUCCAUCUACAAGGGUAAAGCAAUUUCUCUGAAAUUCUAAAUGGUAAAAUCAGUUAGCCUAUGUGAUUUAUUUUGAUUGGAAAUAUCUCCUUACUGGAUAUAUAUGAGAUAUUGAAAUUUAAGUGAUAAUAUGUGAUUUAACACUAAUGUUUCAAAUAAUUGUUACAUAUCUACAAGCUCUAUAAUAGGUAGCAGGUUCUGUAAUCACAAAUACGGCACUAUGUAUAAUAAUCUAAUAUAUUUUUAAAUGCAAUGCCUUUUAGAUUGUGCUUUUCCUUCUUUUAAAAGGACACUAGGAAUUUUGAAGAGUACAGGGACAGGAUAACUUUUUAUUUGAUGAGUCAGGUUUAUAAUAAAAUGGCUCCAAAGACCAAAUAAAAAGUAUCUGAUUUGGCAGAAGGCAGGAUAUUAAUGUAUUGAUAUCAUCUGGAUAAUAAUACAGUAUGUUUCUGAAGUUUUCAGAAACUUUGAGAACUAAAAUAUUUUUCAGGUAUCAAAAAGUUAUGAAGUACGUUUUAUAGUUUAAAUGCUGUGCUUAAAAAUAAGUGAUAUAUGCCCACACACACUUGUGACUACAUUGCCCUGAUGGUGCUGCAGAGUGGAUCUCUAAAGGUAGACUCUCUCCCUGAGAAAAUUUCCUCUACAAGGAGUAAGUGGGUCUCUAGGACUCCCAUGGCUGCUUCAUACCUCAUGAUGCAGAAGAGAAUGGUGCAAAAAACCCAAAGACCAACUGGAAUGUAUAAACAUCUCAGGUGUUCUUAGAUACCAGAACAGCCCUUGAGGCAGCAGGCAGCUCAUGGUGGUGGCUACACCAACACAACAAAUAAGAAGGCAUAAAGUUCCUCUACAUCACCUUUGCCCUCUUCUUACACCCUCAGGCUAAGCACAAGUCCAAAUUCAUUGGUGCCACAUGUUUGCAUUGUGGCUGAGCUCUUUAAUACUUUGCACAUUCCAAAACCAUCCCUCUUUUCACUGUUGGCAAGUGUUAAUUCAAUAAACAAAACACAAUAAUACUACUGAAAAAUCUGGAGCAGGAAGGAAGCCGGCUUACUUCUGCUUGGUUUCCCUUGCUGCCAGUGCAAUAAGCUGCCAUUUUCAACAAGGUAGCAACAGAUGGCUUAGAAUUUAACUCUUUAAAAAAAUUAUUUUAUUUUAUUUUAUUUCAUUUCAUUUCAUUUCAUUUCAUUUCAAAGUAUAGUUAAGAAUUAAUAAAUCAAUCCUAAAAGCAUGAGCCCUUGUGGUGGGAGGAGAAGAGGGCAGGAAAGUUGCAUUGCUGGUGCAAUCCUGGUGGGAAGAUACUCCUUUGAAAGUAUUAUCCAUCUAGGGUGAGAACUUUGGGGGUGGAGUAAAACACCCCUCCUAAACAACCUGGUUACAAAAUUUCCUUCAGUGUCUGUAAGGACAGGAAUCUGGCUUUUUAAUUUACAAGGAAACCUGAUGGUUAUUUUUAAAACUGCUAACAACACCUUAUACCUACUUUUUUCAUGCUUCCCAGCUCCCUUGCCCUACUUGGCACUUAAGCUUGUGUAUAGGAAGGACUUUUAUAAUUUUCCUCAUGUAUCUUGUUCACCUUUGUGUGGCUGUGCUUUCUCUUUUUUUUUUUUUUUUUUUUUUCCUGUAUGCAAUUUUUCCUUUCUACUGUUCAGCUGGUUUGCUGAACAACUAAAUGUUUUAAAAAAUAUUUAUCUUAGCUUGAAUUUUGUUGUUCAUAACCUAACUGCACUGGUUACUCCAUAUACUCUGCUAAAUCUCUGAUUACUGUCUAAAUUUUCAUCAAAAAUAGUUCAAGAUAAUAGAUGAAGUGCCUCUUAAUUAUUUUUAGAUGGCAGACUUUAUGUGUAUUAUCUAGGUGUGGGUAUGACAGUGAGGAAAAUGACACUCAUUGUGCUUGAACCUUGCAGAGCACUAAAUAAAUACAGCUCGUAUGGUGUUUCAUUUCAACACAGGCCUAACCUGAGGAUGCAAAUUCUGUAAGGGGGUAAUUUUUGCAAACAGUAUUUUAACAUCUAGUCAUGCAAAUACCUUAUUGUUCACAGGACAUUUUAUGUUUUGAAAGACACAAGCUAAAUUCUCUUUCUUUGUACUGAAAGGACUUGUUCCUUUAUUCAGCAGAUUUUUAUACGAUAUAGAAGAGCAGUGUCUGCACAGUAUUUGAAAGCUAGGCCUUUGUUUUACCAAAUAUUGUGUGCCUCUGGGACAGGAAGAAAGCCUGUGCAACAGGUUUGUGCACCCUUGCUGGCAUGUUCAGACAAAUUAACUUGUCAUGACGAGUUUUGCUUGGUCUUACAGAGGGGAGGCAGAGAGGUGUGGAGUACCAUAAUGCUGCUUCACUUUUUCUCAGUGGAUGUCUUUUAUUCAUAGCUCUUUGAAUUGAUUUUUCUUUACACACGUGACUCUUCCCUUCCAAUCUCUAUGCUUGCGUAGACAUCAUGUAAUGUAAGCCUAUAUCGUUCUCCUUGGAGUAGGUACAGCCAAAACAGACAGCUGUUUAGAUCUCCCUGGCAAAGAAUCCCAUCGGUCUCACCCACACUGGAUGCACAUACAUGGUCUCCUGGCUGUCAGACCCAUCUGUUAGGAUGGCGUGGUGCCCAUCCUCAGCCUUGUGAGAUAGAUUUGCUGCAACACAGAUACAAAGCAACUACAGGUUUUAGGGCAGGCAUUCUAUACAGCAUUGCAAAUAGUGUCUACUAUAUGGGCAAUAACUUCUUUGGGCUGUUAGCAGCACCAUUUGUUCAUUUAGUGCAUAUCUGUUAUGUAGAUACACGUCAUGGGAUAUGUAGAUACAAAAGACACGAGUCAAAAUAUUUGCACCUGGAAGCAUGAAAUUAGACUCCCAAGCGUGUAUGUCUGUGUGAAUAUAUAUAUAUACUCACAUAAAUGUGUAUGCAUCCUGUUUUUCAAAGAUCAGAAUACACUGCAGUCCCCUGUAUAGAAACUGACAUAUACUCAAACCUUGUGAAAAUCAAACCACUUGAAAAUACGGAUGUGAGAGACAUCCAGCAUGGUGCUCUUUAGCAAGAAGUUCUCCUUUAGCCUCCUGUUUCUCUGUAUGUUGCUUACUUCUGACACCGCUCUGGAUAAGAAAAUGCCAUCUGGAAGUGAAACUUGAAAGAAACAGACCUAGUAUCCUAAGCAGAGGCAGGCAAUGCAACCUCGUGUGUGGGGAGCACUGCGUUUACUUGCUGCUCUUCAGUGGCUUUGCCUCUAGAGCAUCCCUUCAGGAGCACGCAGGCACAGCCACAUUAUCUUUUUCAAAUAAUGGACUGUGGGGCUCCUGCAAACUUUCUCUUCAGAGUUUUGUGUAGAGCCGUGCUCUGUGCACUCUCGAUGUGAGGUCUUCUGACUUCUUGCUUUGUGUGAGGGUGGGUUAGUGCUCGCUGGAGACGUGGGCUCAGUGAUGGCAGCGUGCUGGCAGCAGAGCAGCGGGAGGUCUUGCCUGCAUCCACAGGGCCGAACAAAGGUCCCUUUGUGGGAGUGCAGCAGCUUCAGAAUACAUGGUUUGUCACCAACAAUUAUCUGGGUGUCAUAACUGAAGAUCUGCCACAACACCUACAACCCAGAACAGUGUGCCUCUGUCAUGUAGGGUUGUGUUUUUUUUUUUUUUUACUUACUAUUCAUUAUUACACUAACUUCCCUCAGUAACAAUCUAAGUAGGAGGAUAUAUACACUCCCACAUAAAAUGGACACACAAAGUUCCCCAAGCAUCAUUAAGUGUUGGAAGGAUGUAAAAAUAGCAAUAGAAUAAAUGAAAACCAAUCCUGUAUAUCUUUCUCUGUAUUUAUGGUUAGAUCUCAUAAAAUUGUGUGAAUUCCCUAUUGUUUUAAAGAGUUCUUUUUAAAAGACAUAGAGGUCCAUUUAUAGCCUCACAGUUCAUUACAGUUGACUUCUGAAUAGAGGAGAACUAUGGUCAGCCACUGGUACUAUUUAAAUUUUUUUCUCUGUUUCAACAUUCAUUUAAAAGAGGAGGUUUAUUCAUUUAUUCAGUUGAAUUCACCAGGGAUAGCUGCAGAGGGAAAGGGACUGAAAGCUCCAAUUCACUUUAAUUUGCCUAUUUGCUUACACUCUGUGUUGGAAUGCAGUAGCAAACAGCCAGAAGUUUUUUUAUUCAUGAACAUUCUCUUUGAACUGAGUACGUUUGAAAGUACAUGUUUAGUUCUCUAACCAUAACUCUAAGUUCUGGUUCCAGUAAAAGACAGGCAAUGAACUCUCUCAUCAAAGUACUGCAGAAUUAAUUUCCUUGUGGGCUUCAGGGUGGCAGAAAGUGGAAAUACAAAUUCUUGUGAUUCACACCAUAGAGGCAUUGACUCCUCUUUGUCAUAGCUACUGAAGCUCUGCUCAGAGCUUGUUGGACUGAACUAUGUUGAUCGGCCCAACCCAAAUGCUAAAUCUCAGUGAAUUCAGUCAGGGCUGGUGCUUAAAUAUGCUGCAUGAGAGGGCUAGCAAUCCAAAUAAAAAAACACAGAAAUAUAACAAAACAGGGAAGAACAAAUAUUCAGUAUAAAACUUCAGAAGUUACCGUACCUAAUUACAUUGGUUCUGCCUAUAGCCAAAGGAAUGACAGAAAUACUUUGAAUGGCAUUGAUCUGGCAGGGCAAAACUUUGUCCAAAAAUUCAAUACAGAGCCAAACCCCAGGUAAGUUCCUGAUUCCUGUUCAUGCCUCUGGGAUACCACCUAUACUCUCCACUCAAAGAUCCCCAAGUGGUCUAGAAGACACAUGGGAUUUUCCCCCCAUUUGCAAGGCUCAAGGUGCUGCAGCUGCUGUAUGAAACUUCUCAACUCCAGCCUGGCUCUAAGCCAUGGCUUUGCUGCCUGGCAGUCUGCUUGCUACAGCUCUGGGGCAAAAUUUCUCAUUUUCAGCUGCGUCACUGCCUGCACAUCCUCAUCCUGACCCCACUGACCAUGCAGGGCCCUUCAGAGUACCUGUACCUGGCAUGGAUUAGGAACUAGCCAAGACCCAACUUGGUGGGUGAUCGAGUGGGUCCUUCUGGCCUCAGAAACAACAGAUUGCAAAUUGGCCCAGCUCUACAUUUUUUUGUCUGUAGAUGAGCCAUCAGAAAUCAUGGUUCUCCCCUCCCCUUUUUUUUCUAAGUAUAUGAUCUGCAAAGCAAUGAUACCUUAAUAAAGAAAGUUAACUGUGUGGCUUUUUUUAAAAAGUAUGUGCUGCCUGAGAGAUCUGAAGUACUAUCUAUGUAUCUGUGCAUUUAUGUAACCAUCUGUGUGUGUGUGUGUGUCUGUCUAUGUAUCUAUGUAUGUAUGUAUGUAUCUAUCUAUCUAUCUGUCCGUCCGUCCAUCCAUCCAUCCAUCCAUCCAUCCAUCCAUCCAUCCACCCAUUUAGCUGUCUCACAGUUCUAGUUCUGUUUUGUUCCAUUUUUUGCCAGCAGAGUGAUAUUUACUAUAUGACAUGUAAGUAGUGGUCACAAUAUUUGAUACAUAAUUCCCCGAAUGAUAGGUAAGAUAUCAUAUUAAACCAGUAAUUAUGAACGGAAGUAUAGUUACAAAAUGAGAUGACUGUUUAAAUAAAUAACUACUGCUGUAGUUACAUUUUAAUUGUAUUUCCAUGUUUUCCUUUAGCCUAGAAAGCCUUUCUGAAAUA